UGGCGACCGGCGCACGGGUGAGCAACACGUAUCCAACCUGCCGAUGACUCGGGGAUAGCCUUUCGAAAGAAAGAUUAAUACCCGAUGGCAUAGUUCUUCCGCAUGGUAGAACUAUUAAAGAAUUUCGGUCAUCGAUGGGGAUGCGUUCCAUUAGGUUGUUGGCGGGGUAACGGCCCACCAAGCCUUCGAUGGAUAGGGGUUCUGAGAGGAAGGUCCCCCACAUUGGAACUGAGACACGGUCCAA
Molecule: ribosomal RNA, 244 nt
Filed under: uncultured bacterium
Lineage: Bacteria
Description: partial 16S ribosomal RNA
Rfam family: Bacterial small subunit ribosomal RNA
Source: RNAcentral